Molecule: ribosomal RNA, 837 nt
Filed under: Agathobacter rectalis
Lineage: Bacteria; Bacillati; Bacillota; Clostridia; Lachnospirales; Lachnospiraceae
Description: partial 23S ribosomal RNA
Rfam family: Bacterial large subunit ribosomal RNA
Source: RNAcentral
CUGACUGAGCGGGAUCCAGAGUACAUCGAGACACGAGAAACCUUGAUGGAAAGAGCGGGGACCACCCCGUAAGCCUAAAUACUACUUAGUGACCGAUAGCGCAUAGUACUGUGAAGGAAAGGUGAAAAGGACCCCGGGAGGGGAGUGAAAGAGAACCUGAAACCCUGUGUUUACAAGCUGUGGAAGUUCUUUAAAUGAACAACCGCGUACUUUUUGUAGAACGGUCCGGCGAGUUGCGGAUACUGGCAAGGUUAAGCACUUAAGGUGCGGAGCCGAAGGGAUACCAAGUCUUAACAGGGCGUUAAGUCAGUAUACGCAGACCCGAAACCGGGUGAUCUAUCCAUGUCCAGGUUGAAGUUGUCGUAAAAGACAAUGGAGGACCGAAGCCACAUCCGUUGAAAAGGGUGGGCAUGAGGUGUGGAUAGGGGAGAAAUUCCAAUCGAACCCGGAGAUAGCUGGUUCUCCUCGAAAUAGCUUUAGGGCUAGCCUCGAUUUAGUCUUAUGGAGGUAGAGCACUGAAUUUCCGCGGGGGCGUCAAAGCUUACCAAAGAAUAUCAAACUCCGAAUGCCAUGUAGAUGAUGAUCGGGAGUCAGACUGCACGAGAUAAGUUGGGCAGUCAAAAGGGAAAGAGCCCAGACCACCGGCUAAGGUCCCAAAGUGCGUGUUAAGUGGAAAAGGAUGUGGGAAUUCGAAGACAACUAGGAUGUUGGCUCAGAAGCAGCCAUACAUUCAAAGAGUGCGUAACAGCUCACUAGUCGAGAGUUCCUGCGCCGAAAAUGUCCGGGGCUGAAACACGACACCGAAGCCGUGGACUCGCAAUGCGAGUGGUAGAGGAG